UUGCGGCAGAAUCGAGAUCAGGUCCAGAGCUGGAGGGGCUCCCAGGCCGGGCCUCUGCCCAGCUUCUCCUGUUACACGUGCGGAAGCUGAGGCCGUGUCUCUGUAUGAGACUUGUCCAUCACUGCCCGGGUAUGAUAACUCUCGGCAUCUCUAAAUCUCAGGAGGAAUGUCUGCAGCCCGGCAAGAGAUGGAAUCAGAUGGAAUCAUCAACACUCAAUCAUUAGGCACUGUUGGUUUUCUCUUCAAUGCUGUCUUUCUCCAAAGUAUAAUUAACUGUGGUUAGUCCACCAAACUCUGCCAGAGACCAUGUUCUUAAGGAUAUGUCAGAGACCAUGUCCUUGAAGACUGCCGGAGACCAUGUCCUUGGAGGCAGGAGACAAAGAGCUAAGAAGAGUAGCAAACACCCUAAAUUCCUGAGAUUAGAUAAUGUGUGUCCCAAGAAAUCGGUCAUCUCAGCCCAGGAUCUAGAUAACAGUAUACUCCAGGAUUUCUGCCAUACCUAUGGUCCGACAUUCUUCUCAUUGCAACCCCCCACUCAGAAAUCAUAUUUAAUUAAAACCUCUUCAUUCAUUAAACAGAGACAUUCACCAUCCUAAAUCUUGAGUUGCCUCUCUGUCUCUCCGAUCCUGUUCACAGGCACAACGUGCCUUACCAGACUGUUGUCUUAUGGAGCCUUUGCUCCGGCCCCUUCGAUGACCCACUAUUGAUGUCCUGCUGGACAGGACAAAACUCUUCUAUGGAUUUAAUCUGCCAGUCAGUAGUAUAUUCACAUGUCAUGUCUUAUUUUUUUUUAAUUGCUUCUUCUAAACUCCUUUUCUGGGUAACCCUAUUGCACUCCCAAAUUUAUUUCAUAUUUACCACUUCUGGUGUCUAUUUCUUCUCCUAAAUAAAUCUACCUUUUGGCUAAGAAAAA
Long non-coding RNA from Antechinus flavipes (yellow-footed antechinus), 913 nucleotides. RefSeq lists it as uncharacterized. The record is from RefSeq and is a predicted model, not a curated record. The transcript has 2 exons. Lineage: Eukaryota; Metazoa; Chordata; Mammalia; Dasyuromorphia; Dasyuridae.